Molecule: unclassified non-coding RNA, 354 nt
Filed under: soil metagenome
Description: partial contains 5.8S ribosomal RNA, internal transcribed spacer 2, and large subunit ribosomal RNA
Rfam family: 5.8S ribosomal RNA (bases 1-120)
Source: RNAcentral
GAUGAAGAACGCAGCGAAAUGCGAUAAGUAAUGUGAAUUGCAGAAUUCCGUGAAUCAUCGAAUCUUUAAACGCACAUUGCGCCCCCUGGCAUUCCGGGGGGCAUGCCUGUCCGAGCGUCAUUUCUGCCCUCCAGCCCGGCUGGGUGUUGGGCGCUGUCCCCCCGGGGACACGCCCCAAAGGCAGUGGCGGCGCCGCGUCGGGUCCUCGAGCGUAUGGGGCUUUGUCACCCGCUCGGGACGGACUCGUCGGCGCUGGUCUUCCUCCAGGCGACCCUUCGGGGCUCGUCUUCCUUCGGUUGACCUCGGAUCAGGUAGGGUUACCCGCUGAACUUAAGCAUAUCAAUAAGCGGAGGA